CCUACGGGUGGCAGCAGUGAGGAAUAUUGGUCAAUGGGCGAGAGCCUGAACCAGCCAAGUCGCGUGAGGGAUGACGGUCCUAUGGAUUGUAAACCUCUUUUGUCGGGGAACAAAGGCGUCCACGUGUGGACUGAUGAGUGUACCCGAAGAAAAAGCAUCGGCUAACUCCGUGCCAGCAGCCGCGGUAAUACGGAGGAUGCGAGCGUUAUCCGGAUUUAUUGGGUUUAAAGGGUGCGCAGGCGGAGGUGCAAGUCAGCGGUCAAAUUGCGGGGCGCAACCCCGUACUGCCGUUGAAACUGCAUCCCUUGAGUGCGCGAGAAGUAUGCGGAAUGCGUGGUGUAGCGGUGAAAUGCAUAGAUAUCACGCAGAACUCCGAUUGCGAAGGCAGCAUACCGGCGCGCAACUGACGCUCAUGCACGAAAGCGUGGGUAUCGAACAGGAUUAGAUACCCCAGUAGUC
Molecule: ribosomal RNA, 459 nt
Filed under: uncultured bacterium
Lineage: Bacteria
Description: partial 16S ribosomal RNA
Rfam family: Bacterial small subunit ribosomal RNA
Source: RNAcentral